This 253-nucleotide ribosomal RNA is filed under the name uncultured bacterium. RNAcentral describes it as "partial 16S ribosomal RNA". It matches the Rfam family "Bacterial small subunit ribosomal RNA", at positions 524 to 776 of the family's 1533-position model. The record is from RNAcentral.
UACGUAGGGGCCUAGCGUUGUCCGGAAUUAUUGGGCGUAAAGGGUGCGUAGGCGGCGCGGUAAGUCGGGUGUGAAAUCUCGGGGCUUAACUCCGAAACUGCAUUCGAUACUGCCGUGCUUGAGGACUGGAGAGGAGACUGGAAUUUACGGUGUAGCGGUGAAAUGCGUAGAUAUCGUAAGGAAGACCAGUGGCGAAGGCGGGUCUCUGGACAGUUCCUGACGCUGAGGCACGAAGGCCAGGGGAGCAAACGGG